Molecule: ribosomal RNA, 268 nt
Filed under: uncultured prokaryote
Description: partial 16S ribosomal RNA
Rfam family: Bacterial small subunit ribosomal RNA
Source: RNAcentral
CAGCAGCCGCGGUAAUACGGAGGAUCCAAGCGUUAUCCGGAAUCAUUGGGUUUAAAGGGUCCGUAGGCGGGAUAAUAAGUCAGCGGUGAAAGUCUGUGGCUCAACCAUAGAAUUGCCAUUGAUACUGUUGUUCUUGAGUGUUUAUGAAGUGGUUAGAAUAUGUAGUGUAGCGGUGAAAUGCUUAGAUAUUACAUGGAAUACCGAUUGCGAAGGCAGAUCACUAAUAAAAUACUGACGCUGAUGGACGAAAGCGUAGGUAGCGAACAGG